GAUGAACGCUGGCGGCGUGCCUAAUACAUGCAAGUCGAGCGAACAGACGAGGAGCUUGCUCCUCUGACGUUAGCGGCGGACGGGUGAGUAACACGUGGAUAACCUACCUAUAAGACUGGGAUAACUUCGGGAAACCGGAGCUAAUACCGGAUAAUAUAUUGAACCGCAUGGUUCAAUAGUGAAAGACGGUUUUGCUGUCACUUAUAGAUGGAUCCGCGCUGCAUUAGCUAGUUGGUAAGGUAACGGCUUACCAAGGCAACGAUGCAUAGCCGACCUGAGAGGGUGAUCGGCCACACUGGAACUGAGACACGGUCCAGACUCCUACGGGAGGCAGCAGUAGGGAAUCUUCCGCAAUGGGCGAAAGCCUGACGGAGCAACGCCGCGUGAGUGAUGAAGGUCUUCGGAUCGUAAAACUCUGUUAUUAGGGAAGAACAUAUGUGUAAGUAACUGUGCACGUCUUGACGGUACCUAAUCAGAAAGCCACGGCUAACUACGUG
Molecule: ribosomal RNA, 497 nt
Filed under: uncultured bacterium
Lineage: Bacteria
Description: partial 16S ribosomal RNA
Rfam family: Bacterial small subunit ribosomal RNA
Source: RNAcentral